This 492-nucleotide ribosomal RNA is filed under the name uncultured bacterium. RNAcentral describes it as "partial 16S ribosomal RNA". It matches the Rfam family "Bacterial small subunit ribosomal RNA", at positions 29 to 507 of the family's 1533-position model. The record is from RNAcentral.
AGUGAACGCUGGCGGUAGGCCUAACACAUGCAAGUCGAACGGCAGCACAGUAAGAGCUUGCUCUUACGGGUGGCGAGUGGCGGACGGGUGAGGAAUACAUCGGAAUCUACUUUUUCGUGGGGGAUAACGUAGGGAAACUUACGCUAAUACCGCAUACGACCUACGGGUGAAAGCAGGGGAUCUUCGGACCUUGCGCGAUUGAAUGAGCCGAUGUCGGAUUAGCUAGUUGGCGGGGUAAAGGCCCACCAAGGCGACGAUCCGCAGCUGGUCUGAGAGGAUGAUCAGCCACACUGGAACUGAGGCACGGUCCAGACUCCUACGGGAGGCAGCAGUGGGGAAUAUUGGACAAAGGGCGCAAGCCUGAUCCAGCCAUACCGCGUGGGUGAAGAAGGCCUUCGGGUUGUAAAGCCCUUUUGUUGGGAAAGAAAAGCAGCAGGUUAAUACCCCGCUGUUCUGACGGUACCCAAAGAAUAAGCACCGGCUAACUUCGUG